AAUAAUAAUAAACCUAAUGGAAUUAUUAAAUACUGAAUUCUGAGUCUAAUAGAAUUUUAAACAUAAAUUACAAUGAAUAUAAUCCCAAAGCAUCCUAAAUUGAAUUUUCUUCUGGUACUGCAUCACAAAAAAGGCAGAGGAAAUACUUUACCCCUACAAGUUCUUCUCAGUUGGAACUACUUCAACUCACAACCUUCAUUUUGGAGAAACUCGACACAGGCAAAGAUGAUCAAACAAACACAAAGCUGACAGCCAGUGUGUGACAUUGAAAAUUAACCUUCCCGAUGAACAAAAAACCUCGUUCUAUCAAAAUAUUGGCUACGGCUUUGAAAAAUGAAAAAUACUGUGGUUCAGCUAGGACUUUCCACAAUAUAAAGUGUUGGAAUGUGAGACUAUUCAGGAGAUCCAAAAUUUCUGUGAUCCGGUGACGAGAUAAUCAAUCAUGGGAAUAAAAAAAUAGUACCAAACAUGUGCGAAAGGGUUAGAACAAGGAAUUAAGAGAAUAAGGAGCAAUAACCGUCAACCUGUAUCAUGCAAUGAAGAAGGCCCAUUCGAAAAUCCCAUUCUCUGAGAAUGGACUACAAUGAAAUCCCAACCGCAUGAAUUAUUAACAACUUUGCACUUUCUCAAACUGAAACUAUUAUGUCAUCCUAGGCAUGCAUGAAGUUCAACCUCCUAGUAGAAAUGAACGAAACCCUUCAAGCUGGAAUCGAUCACCUAACAUCAAGUUUAAACACGUUGCCUUGUUUAUUUUGCAAAAUAUGUGUCUAUAAGACAAUAACAUCCUUUAGAUGAAAGCAAAG
Molecule: unclassified non-coding RNA, 803 nt
Filed under: Hevea brasiliensis (rubber tree)
Lineage: Eukaryota; Viridiplantae; Streptophyta; Magnoliopsida; Malpighiales; Euphorbiaceae
Source: RNAcentral